GUCUGCUGUGCUGGGUGCUGGAGUAGGCAUUUACAGAUGCAAUCCCAGGUUCCUGCUCGUAAGAGUGCAACCACAGGGCUGCUGUUACUUUACAAUGCAGAUGAAGAAAUUGUGGUUCAGAGAGAUAAAGUAGCUGGGCCAGUAUGUAGUGUGGAGUCAAAGGAAUGGGCUGGCUGUGGUGGCCUAAAGGAAAGGGGCCUUUUGCUGUCUGAGAGGUGCCCCUAGACUUUUGCAGACUUCCUCUUGGAGAUGGGAGCCUGAGGAAGCCCGGAUGUUUAUGGGAGCCGGGUCCUUCAUUGCCUGUGUCCCCCACUCUGUCCCCAGGGCAGAGCCAGCCAGCCCCCCCUUCAUCCCCAGGGCCCAGUGGCUGUGGGCACCAUUACCAGCAUCGUUCUGGAAAGUCCAGGUGCUCAAAGCCCAGAGGACCUUCUAUUCAAAGAGAGCAGAUUUGAGGUUUGAGCAAACCCAGCUCACCAGCAAGUCAACGUAGCUUGGUCAAGCAGAGAUGAGCCAAAACUUUGGAAAGAAUCAUCUCAGAAAACCAAGUGCUGUAUCUCCUACCCAUUUAAAAAAUAUGUCUCCCAGUUUUUGUAAACACUCAUAACCAGGAAACAUUUGCUGUGCUUAUACAUGUUAAAAGCUUUUUACAAAUUCUGAGAAAACACUGGAUUUGGUCAGACUGUCUUUUCUUCGGUGAUGUUUGG
RNAcentral lists this long non-coding RNA (704 nucleotides) under Ursus maritimus (polar bear). RNAcentral's name for it is "lncRNA (ENSUMAG00000022467.1)". Lineage: Eukaryota; Metazoa; Chordata; Mammalia; Carnivora; Ursidae. The record is from RNAcentral.